This 711-nucleotide ribosomal RNA is filed under the name Staphylococcus aureus. Its description in RNAcentral is "partial 23S ribosomal RNA". It matches the Rfam family "Bacterial large subunit ribosomal RNA", at positions 457 to 1170 of the family's 2925-position model. The record is from RNAcentral. Lineage: Bacteria; Bacillati; Bacillota; Bacilli; Caryophanales; Staphylococcaceae.
CUCCUAAGGCUAAAUACUCUCUAGUGACCGAUAGUGAACCAGUACCGUGAGGGAAAGGUGAAAAGCACCCCGGAAGGGGAGUGAAAUAGAACCUGAAACCGUGUGCUUACAAGUAGUCAGAGCCCGUUAAUGGGUGAUGGCGUGCCUUUUGUAGAAUGAACCGGCGAGUUACGAUUUGAUGCAAGGUUAAGCAGUAAAUGUGGAGCCGUAGCGAAAGCGAGUCUGAAUAGGGCGUUUAGUAUUUGGUCGUAGACCCGAAACCAGGUGAUCUACCCUUGGUCAGGUUGAAGUUCAGGUAACACUGAAUGGAGGACCGAACCGACUUACGUUGAAAAGUGAGCGGAUGAACUGAGGGUAGCGGAGAAAUUCCAAUCGAACCUGGAGAUAGCUGGUUCUCUCCGAAAUAGCUUUAGGGCUAGCCUCAAGUGAUGAUUAUUGGAGGUAGAGCACUGUUUGGACGAGGGGCCCCUCUCGGGUUACCGAAUUCAGACAAACUCCGAAUGCCAAUUAAUUUAACUUGGGAGUCAGAACAUGGGUGAUAAGGUCCGUGUUCGAAAGGGAAACAGCCCAGACCACCAGCUAAGGUCCCAAAAUAUAUGUUAAGUGGAAAAGGAUGUGGCGUUGCCCAGACAACUAGGAUGUUGGCUUAGAAGCAGCCAUCAUUUAAAGAGUGCGUAAUAGCUCACUAGUCGAGUGACACUGCGCCGAAAA